This 473-nucleotide ribosomal RNA is filed under the name uncultured bacterium. RNAcentral's name for it is "bacterial SSU rRNA". It matches the Rfam family "Bacterial small subunit ribosomal RNA", at positions 1057 to 1529 of the family's 1533-position model. The record is from RNAcentral.
AGCUCGUGUCGUGAGAUGUUGGGUUAAGUCCCGCAACGAGCGCAACCCUUAAGCUUAGUUGCCAUCAUUAAGUUGGGCACUCUAGGUUGACUGCCGGUGACAAACCGGAGGAAGGUGGGGAUGACGUCAAAUCAUCAUGCCCCUUAUGAUUUGGGCUACACACGUGCUACAAUGGACAAUACAAAGGGCAGCUAAACCGCGAGGUCAUGCAAAUCCCAUAAAGUUGUUCUCAGUUCGGAUUGUAGUCUGCAACUCGACUACAUGAAGCUGGAAUCGCUAGUAAUCGUAGAUCAGCAUGCUACGGUGAAUACGUUCCCGGGUCCUGUACACACCGCCCGUCACACCACGAGAGUUUGUAACACCCGAAGCCGGUGGAGUAACCAUUUAUGGAGCUAGCCGUCGAAGGUGGGACAAAUGAUUGGGGUGAAGUCGUAACAAGGUAGCCGUAUCGGAAGGUGCGGCUGAAUCACCUC